RNAcentral lists this unclassified non-coding RNA (317 nucleotides) under uncultured fungus. RNAcentral's name for it is "partial contains small subunit ribosomal RNA, internal transcribed spacer 1, and 5.8S ribosomal RNA". The stretch from base 1 to 73 matches the Rfam family "Eukaryotic small subunit ribosomal RNA", at positions 1759 to 1831 of the family's 1831-position model. The record is from RNAcentral. Lineage: Eukaryota; Fungi.
ACAAACUUGGUCAUUUAGAGGAAGUAAAAGUCGUAACAAGGUCUCCGUUGGUGAACCAGCGGAGGGAUCAUUACCGGGUCUCACGACUACCCGAACCCUGAACUAGUGCAUUCUUGCAACUUGUUUCCACGCUGCGGCGGGCUGCUCGCUGGGGGAGCGCUGGGCCGACAGGCUAGCCCGCCGCAGCGAACGAAAACCGUCUCCGAGGCAUGAAGCCCCGAGGCAUGCUCCGAGAGGCACUGAAGCCUUGCAAAAGGCAUCUAGUCACAACCCAUAACAAUGGAUCUCUUGGCUCCGGCAUCGAUGAAGAACGCAGC